RNAcentral lists this ribosomal RNA (469 nucleotides) under uncultured bacterium. Its description in RNAcentral is "bacterial SSU rRNA". It matches the Rfam family "Bacterial small subunit ribosomal RNA", at positions 329 to 794 of the family's 1533-position model. The record is from RNAcentral.
UGCCAGACUCCUACGGGAGGCAGCAGUGAGGAAUAUUGGUCAAUGGGCGAGAGCCUGAACCAGCCAAGUCGCGUGAAGGAUGACGGCCCUACGGGUUGUAAACUUCUUUUGUCAGGGAGCAAUUGGGUCCACGCGUGGGCUUAGCGAGAGUACCUGAAGAAAAAGCAUCGGCUAACUCCGUGCCAGCAGCCGCGGUAAUACGGAGGAUGCGAGCGUUAUCCGGAUUUACUGGGUGUAAAGGGAGCGUAGACGGUGCGCCAAGUCUGGAGUGAAAUGCCGCAGCUUAACUGCGGAACUGCUUUGGAAACUGGCGAACUAGAGUGCGGGAGGGGUAAGCGGAAUUCCUAGUGUAGCGGUGAAAUGCGUAGAUAUUAGGAGGAACACCGGUGGCGAAGGCGGCUUACUGGACCGUAACUGACGUUGAGGCUCGAAAGCGUGGGGAGCAAACAGGAUUAGAUACCCGUGUAUA